This 1214-nucleotide unclassified non-coding RNA is filed under the name Mizuhopecten yessoensis (Yesso scallop). RNAcentral's name for it is "rNA-binding protein 1-like, transcript variant X4". The record is from RNAcentral. Lineage: Eukaryota; Metazoa; Mollusca; Bivalvia; Pectinida; Pectinidae.
AGCAAAUUGCAGCGUUGUGUCCAUAUUGCAUUUAAUAUUUGGUCAAGCGAUGCUGCAACAUCGUGCCGGGUGAAGCAUUGUUCAUUUUAUAAAAUUGGAAAUAAACAUGAGUGGUCGUUCAAAAGAAUGGACACUGUCCUGCAAGGUGUAUGUGGGUGAAUUGGGGAACAAUGCAAACAAGCAGGAACUGGAAGAUGCAUUUGGUCAGUACGGAAGGCUAAAGAAUGUCUGGAUUGCCAGGAAUCCCCCAGGGUUUGCGUUUGUUGAAUUUGAAGAUGCAAGGGAUGCAGAAGAUGCAUGCAAAGAACUUCACGGAAAGAGACUUUGUAGAUCUAAAGUGAGAGUGGAGAUGUCACAUGGGAAGUCCCGCUGGGGUAAGGGUGGUCCCCCUGUGCGUCAGUACGGAGGUGGUGGUGGUGGCGGCGGCGGCAGUAGGGGAGGUCGAGACAGCAAAGACAGUUACUGGCGUCCAGGAACAAGUCGAGGAGGACGUUCUAGGCCUUUCCCCUUUGAUGCCUUUGGACAGCUACACCUGCCAACAGCAUCAGCGCAGUGUUUUACAAUUACAAAUCAACUUUCCUCCCACCUUCGCCGCCCAGCCUAGCUAAGGCUUACACCUUAGACCAAGAAACAACGUUUUGUUUCAAUACUUCAACGUACGGCACAGCAAAUCAGCCAUCUCUCUGACAAGCCACGUCGUAAAUAUCAUCAGGUGCUACAGUACAGUAAGACUUCUACAGCAAAGUCUUCCAAAAACCCUGGGAGUUGUCUUCAGCAUUCUGCCCAUCAUCCAUCGGCCUUCGCAUAGUUGGGCUCUUGUCACCAAACGAUAAGCCUAACUGAUUGACUAUUGUGCAUCGGCACCAAUUUGACAAUGGUCAAUCAGCAUGUAGGUUCCUUCCACCAUCAAUCAACUUAUCUACAGCCCUCUCUUCGUUGUUCGGCUUCGGUCCUCGUUUGCUCCAUCAUUACCACAACAAACAACACAUUGUUCACCCUCAACUCUAAGGCCUACGGGGCAUACCACUUUUCCCAAAUCUGUCCAAAUUCUGCAGUCAUCGUGCGUCCACUCACCAGGGCUACAACCGUCGGUAGACAUCAUCGAUCGAUGACAGCGCAAUGGUCAAGGUCCCGAUCUCCAAUACCCCGUAGGAGGUACUCCCGAAGCAGAAGCCGCAGCAGGUCAACCUCUCCAUACCGACGUUAAUUGGUGC